RNAcentral lists this non-coding RNA (29 nucleotides) under Mus musculus (house mouse). The record is from RNAcentral. Lineage: Eukaryota; Metazoa; Chordata; Mammalia; Rodentia; Muridae.
UGGACUGAACAGUGACUAGAAAGUUCUUC